Long non-coding RNA from Anoplopoma fimbria (sablefish), 212 nucleotides. RefSeq lists it as uncharacterized. The transcript is spliced from 3 exons. The record is from RefSeq and is a predicted model, not a curated record. NCBI's taxonomy places the organism in Eukaryota, Metazoa, Chordata, Actinopteri, Perciformes, Anoplopomatidae.
CCCCGACCCCGAGUUUAGCCUCCGCUUCUUCUGAUUUCCGUCUGCCUGAUCCCCUGCCUUUUUCCCUCUUGCUCCAGGGAGUCUUACAGAUACCAAAGAGGGCAAGGAUCACAGAGUCCCAGACACUGACAGUCUGAGGUGAACCUCCUGAAUCUACAGGAAGGGGGAGUCGAGAUCCGUAGAAGGGAGUUGACCAGCUACAGACAUCCCAC